This is a long non-coding RNA of Schistocerca piceifrons (Central American locust), 673 nucleotides long. RefSeq lists it as uncharacterized. Lineage: Eukaryota; Metazoa; Arthropoda; Insecta; Orthoptera; Acrididae. The transcript is spliced from 3 exons. The record is from RefSeq and is a predicted model, not a curated record.
AAUGCUUAGAGGUUAAUAGGUUAUCAUUAACAUGAACACCAGCUGUUGUGCUGUUGUGAUGCGACUGAGAGAUUGACUGUGAAGUGAGACUGAGCUAUAUAAAAAGGAUGGACAGGCCACAAGAACGUGCAAGUGAGCUGAGAACUUUCUAUAAACAACUUCUGGGGAAAAAGGAUGCAGACUGGAGUCAGCUGACUGCAGUUGGAAUGACUCAAGAUGCAUAAUCUCUCAGAAGACCAACCCCUCAUCCCAGCUGUGGGAGACAAGCAACACUGAAAAGUAGGGGAUGGCCUACAGGGGUGAAGUACAGCGGGAACUUCGAGUGCCCCAGGACCAAUGCUAUAGCUGUGAAGGCCCUGUAAAUACUACGAAAAGUGGCAGCUAACUGGGCUCCCGUGAAGCUAUGAUAGGCAUAGCUAGCCAACAGUGGAUCAAACCAGUUUUGGACAGGGGAACUAGCCUCGGAAAGGAUACCAUUCAUUCCACCUGACAACCAACAGCACCGCUCAGCCAGACUGUGACACUGGAGCAAUUUACGUGGCCAGAGCAGUGUAGCUGCACGUGUGUGCACGCACAGUGUUGAGUGCAAUCUGUAUAGCACUGUGUCGAUCCUACUUCAUUUUUCAUUUAUAAUUUAGUUACAUAAAUUACAAUUUAUAUUAUAAAAUGGGUG